ACUAACAAGGAUUCCCCUAGUAACUGCGAGUGAAGCGGGAAAAGCUCAAAUUUAAAAUCUGAGGGUCUUUAUGGCCUUCCGAGUUGUAAUCUAGAGAAGUGCUAUCCGCGCUGGACCGUGUACAAGUCUCCUGGAACGGAGCGUCAUAGAGGGUGAGAAUCCCGUCUUUGACACGGACUACCAGGGCUUAUGUGAUGCGCUCUCAAAGAGUCGAGUUGUUUGGGAAUGCAGCUCUAAAUGGGUGGUAAAUUCCAUCUAAAGCUAAAUAUUGGCGAGAGACCGAUAGCGAACAAGUACCGUGAGGGAAAGAUGAAAAGAACUUUGGAAAGAGAGUUAAACAGUACGUGAAAUUGUUGAAAGGGAAACGCUUGAAGUCAGUCGCAUUGGCCAGGGAUCAACCUUGCUUUUGCUUGGUGUAUUUUCUGGUUAAUGGGUCAGCAUCAAUUUUGAUCGGUGGAAAAAGAUCAAGGGAAUGUGGCAUCUUCGGAUGUGUUAUAGCCUUUGGUUGUAUACAUCGGUUGGGAUUGAGGAACUCAGCACGCCGCAAGGCCGGGUUUUUAACCACGUACGUGCUUAGGAUGCUGGCAUAAUGGCUUUAAUCGACCCGUCUUGAAACACGGACCAAGGAGUCUAACAUGCACGCGAGUGUUUGGGUGGAAAACCCGAGCGCGUAAUGAAAGUGAAAAUUGAGAUCCCUGUCGUGGGGAGCAUCGAUGCCCGGACCAGACCUUUUGUGACGGUUCCGCGGUUGAGCGUGUAUGCUGGGACCCGAAAGAUGGUGAACUAUGCCUGAAUAGGGUGAAGCCAGAGGAAACUCUGGUGGAGGCUCGUAGCGAUUCUGACGUGCAAAUCGAUCGUCAAAUUUGGGUAUAGGGGCGAAAG
This 882-nucleotide ribosomal RNA is filed under the name Tricholoma myomyces. RNAcentral's name for it is "eukaryotic LSU rRNA". It matches the Rfam family "Eukaryotic large subunit ribosomal RNA", at positions 64 to 929 of the family's 3401-position model. RNAcentral also lists the same sequence under 1 other name. The record is from RNAcentral. Lineage: Eukaryota; Fungi; Basidiomycota; Agaricomycetes; Agaricales; Tricholomataceae.